AUUGAACGCUGGCGGCAUGCCUUACACAUGCAAGUCGAACGGCAGCGGGGGAGAAGCUUGCUUUUCCUGCCGGCGAGUGGCGAACGGGCGAGUAAUACAUCGGAACGUGCCCUGUAGUGGGGGAUAACUAGUCGAAAGAUAAGCUAAUACCGCAUACGACCUGAGGGUGAAAGUGGGGGACCGCAAGGCCUCAUGCUAUAGGAGCGGCCGAUGUCUGAUUAGCUAGUUGGUGGGGUAAAGGCCUACCAAGGCGACGAUCAGUAGCUGGUCUGGGAGGACGAUCAGCCACACUGGGACUGAGACACGGCCCAGACUCCUACGGGAGGCAGCAGUGGGGAAUUUUGGACAAUGGGCGAAAGCCUGAUCCAGCAAUGCCGCGUGUGUGAAGAAGGCCUUCGGGUUGUAAAGCACUUUUGUCCGGAAAGAAAUGGCUCUGGUUAAUACCUGGGGUCGAUGACGGUACCGGAAGAAUAAGGACCGGCUAACUACGUGCCAGCCGCCGCGGUAA
Molecule: ribosomal RNA, 508 nt
Filed under: uncultured bacterium
Lineage: Bacteria
Description: partial 16S ribosomal RNA
Rfam family: Bacterial small subunit ribosomal RNA
Source: RNAcentral